RNAcentral lists this small RNA (207 nucleotides) under Dickeya solani. RNAcentral describes it as "GlmZ_SraJ". The stretch from base 1 to 158 matches the Rfam family "Glm Y RNA activator of glmS mRNA". Rfam says of the family: This family consists of a number of bacterial RNA genes of around 167 bases in length. The function of this RNA is unknown. The record is from RNAcentral. Lineage: Bacteria; Pseudomonadati; Pseudomonadota; Gammaproteobacteria; Enterobacterales; Pectobacteriaceae.
UGCUCAUUCAACUGGUUAUGAUGGUAUGGUGAAGGUCUAUCAUGCUCAUAACAUCUGGAAUGACGCCAAAAGAUAAGGUGCCUAUCGUCCAGCUUUAUUGAUAACUGCCUUUGGGCUUUAUCACACAUCGGACGACACGUUGAGUGAGGCACCGCCUAUUCAGAGACCCGGUCAGACAGUUACUGUGUGACCGGGUUUCGUUUUUUU